This 395-nucleotide transfer-messenger RNA is filed under the name Bacilli. Its description in RNAcentral is "Enterosoma sp900316035 Standard tmRNA". It matches the Rfam family "transfer-messenger RNA". Rfam says of the family: Bacterial tmRNA, also known as 10Sa RNA or SsrA, is named for its dual tRNA and mRNA-like properties. Its role is to liberate the mRNA from a stalled ribosome. Lineage: Bacteria; Bacillati; Bacillota. The record is from RNAcentral. RNAcentral also lists the same sequence under 1 other name.
GGGGAUGUUCCGGUUUCGACAGGCAGGAACGACUUCUGGGGGCAGUGGGAUGGUCUCCUUAUCGACCGACACAACUACAAGUGCCGAUAAACCUGUUAUGUUCCGUGCUCCGGCCAUGAUGGCCUGCGCUGCCUAGUUUUCACUAGUCACGCACUUCGGGAACCACUGAGUUCCCUUGCACAAUCAGAGGAGAGCUUGCCUCUUCGGUUCUUCUGAUUUUUUCGAAUAGGCUUCCUGGUCUAGCUUCCUUUCCUAGAUCAGGUGACACAAGGAAGGAUCGGAGAAGAAGAGCUUCGUCGGUGUCCUCUCUUCUCCUAACCUGACGCCGAAGAAACUGUGGUUCCCCAUUAGAGAUUCCUGUUUGGACGCGGGUUCGACUCCCGUCAUCUCCACCA